GACGAACGUUGGCGGCGUGCUUAAUACAUGCAAGUCAACUGAAGCAGAGGUAGUAAUAUCUCUGUGGAGGUGGCGCACGGGUGAGUAACACGUAGGUAAUCUGCCUUCAGGUCUGACAUAACCCCGAGAAAUCGGGGCUAAUAGCAGAUGAUGCAGCGGCUUGACAUCAAGACAGUUGUUAAAGCUUCGGCGCCUGAAGAUGAGCCUGCGCUGAUUAGCUAGUUGGCGGAGUAACAGCCCACCAAGGCUACGAUCAGUAGCUGGUCUGAGA
RNAcentral lists this ribosomal RNA (271 nucleotides) under uncultured bacterium. RNAcentral describes it as "partial 16S ribosomal RNA". It matches the Rfam family "Bacterial small subunit ribosomal RNA", at positions 28 to 297 of the family's 1533-position model. The record is from RNAcentral.